RNAcentral lists this ribosomal RNA (506 nucleotides) under uncultured bacterium. RNAcentral's name for it is "partial 16S ribosomal RNA". It matches the Rfam family "Bacterial small subunit ribosomal RNA", at positions 29 to 523 of the family's 1533-position model. The record is from RNAcentral.
AGUGAACGCUGGCGGUAGGCCUAACACAUGCAAGUCGAACGGCAGCACAGGAGAGCUUGCUCUCUGGGUGGCGAGUGGCGGACGGGUGAGGAAUACAUCGGAAUCUACUCUGUCGUGGGGGAUAACGUAGGGAAACUUACGCUAAUACCGCAUACGACCUACGGGUGAAAGCAGGGGACCUUCGGGCCUUGCGCGAUUGAAUGAGCCGCUGUCGGAUUAGCUAGUUGGCGGGGUAAAGGCCCACCAAGGCGACGAUCCGUAGCUGGUCUGAGAGGAUGAUCAGCCACACUGGAACUGAGACACGGUCCAGACUCCUACGGGAGGCAGCAGUGAGGAAUAUUGGACAAUGGGCGCAAGCCUGAUCCAGCCAUACCGCGUGGGUGAAGAAGGCCUUCGGGUUGUAAAGCCCUUUUGUUGGGAAAGAAAUCCAGCUGGCUAAUACCCGGUUGGGAUGACGGUACCCAAAGAAUAAGCACCGGCUAACUUCGUGCCAGCCGCCGCAGUAA